Molecule: ribosomal RNA, 465 nt
Filed under: uncultured bacterium
Lineage: Bacteria
Description: partial 16S ribosomal RNA
Rfam family: Bacterial small subunit ribosomal RNA
Source: RNAcentral
GACGAACGCUGGCGGCGUGCUUAACACAUGCGAGUCGAACGGAAAGGCCCUGCUUGCAGGGUACUCGAGUGGCGAACGGGUGAGUAACACGUGGGUGAUCUGCCCUGCACUUCGGGAUAAGCCUGGGAAACUGGGUCUAAUACCGGAUAGGAGCCAUUUUUAGUGUGAUGGUUGGAAAGUUUUUUCGGUGUAGGAUGAGCUCGCGGCCUAACGGCUUGUUGGUGGGGUAAUGGCCUACCAAGGCGGCGACGGGUAGCCGGCCUGAGAGGGUGGACGGCCACAUUGAGACUGACGUGCGGCCCAGACGCCUACGUGAGGCAGAAGUGGGGAAUAUUGAACCAUGAGCGCAGGCCUGAUGCAGCGGCGCCGCGGGGGGGAUGACGGUCUUCGGGUUGUAGACACCGUUCGCUAGGGACGAAGCUUUUUGUGACGGUACCUAGAGAAGAAGCACCGGCUAACUACGUG